AGAGCGGCGCACGGGUGCGUAACGCGUAUGUAACCUACCCUAUACAGGGGGAUAGCCCGGAGAAAUCUGGAUUAAUACCCCAUGGCACUGCGAAUCAGCAUUGGAUUGCAGUUAAAGAUUUAUCGGUAUAGGAUGGACAUGCGUCUGAUUAGCUAGUUGGCGGUGUAACGGACCACCAAGGCGACGAUCAGUAGGGGUUCUGAGAGGAAGGUCCCCCACACUGGCACUGAGAUACGGGCCAGACUCCUACGGGAGGCAGCAGUAGGGAAUAUUGGGCAAUGGACGAGAGUCUGACCCAGCCAUGCCGCGUGCAGGAAGAAGGCGUUCUGCGUUGUAAACUGCUUUUAUCUGGGAAGAAAAGGCCCAUGCGUGGGACAUUGCCGGUACCAGAUGAAUAAGCACCGGCUAACUCCGUGCCAGCAGCCGCGGUAAUACGGAGGGUGCAAGCGUUGUCCGGAUUUAUUGGGUUUAAAGGGUGCGUAGGCGGUUGAUUAAGUCAGCGGUGAAAGUUUUGGGCUCAACCCAGAA
This 528-nucleotide ribosomal RNA is filed under the name uncultured Algoriphagus sp. RNAcentral describes it as "bacterial SSU rRNA". It matches the Rfam family "Bacterial small subunit ribosomal RNA", at positions 92 to 619 of the family's 1533-position model. The record is from RNAcentral. Lineage: Bacteria; Pseudomonadati; Bacteroidota; Cytophagia; Cytophagales; Cyclobacteriaceae.